Molecule: long non-coding RNA, 2845 nt
Organism: Rattus norvegicus (Norway rat)
Lineage: Eukaryota; Metazoa; Chordata; Mammalia; Rodentia; Muridae
Source: RefSeq, a predicted model, not a curated record
GCUACAGGCUCAGGGAAGACGUGAAAACAGCGCCUCUCGCCAUGGCCUUAAGGAAAUGAAACUCCAAGAUUUGCAGAGGGAAUUCAAUCACUCUGGACCUCCGUGACAGGCACACAGAGCACAAACACAGAAUAAGCGGAAGCCAAGGCACAGUGUCUGUUCCUCUUGCGUGGCGUGGUGAGUGGAGAGAGGCAGAGGCUGCGUGAAAAACAUUUGGGACCAUACGCCCAGUAGACCUCCAACACAGAGGGAGGCUAGCCAUCCCCUCUGAACGCUGGAAUCUUCAUACACAGCUCUUUGGCGGCGCGACCUUCAGUGAUUGUCUCCGUAGCCAAAGUGAUAAAGAACACAGCCAUACUUCAGAGAGAGAAGCGGACCACGCACAUCACAGUGUGGACCAGGCCUGCGCUCAAGCAGGUCUAGGUAGGCUCCGUGACUCAUCUGUCACUUAUCAGCUAUGAAAUUGACCACGUGACCGAUGUUCUCCGAUCAGCAGCAACUCUGUCAGAGGGUCUGCCAAAGCCCACCUCCGAGGCUCAUGGAGGAGCUGCCCACUUCACGAGCUGUGCACAGAACCUCCCGGGCUGCUCUCAAUACCCACUGGUUUUGUUUGUCUGUGUCCUGGAGUGGGAGGCAGCAGGGAGGAAGCUGGGAGCUGCGUCACCCAGCAGUCUACCUGUAAAGUUUGCAUGCUACAUGUGUGCGUGCCUGUGGUGCCACCCAGAGCCAGAGGCCUGUCAACGGCUGCAGAUAGAUGGCAGGUGUGCACACUCUCUGUUCAUGCCAAGCUGCCUCCCCUUCAUAAAGACCUGGUUCUUGUUGGCUACUCUCCUGCUCCUCCCCCCCAUCUCCCUCCCCCCACCCCAGCCAAGCUCAGUGAUCUAUUCUAAGCAGGCUGCUGUCCCUGGGCACACUCAGGCCUUCUGUUUGUCCAUAGCCAGCCUGUGAAACUCUCAUAAUGUAGCCUUGUUCUCCUUACCACACAGCAGCCCGCUGCUCAGAGCCUGCCUGGGGAGGAGGCCGUGCCAGCUGCACAGAGCUGGUUUCCAGGAAGACAUAAGCACUGUGUGUGGCCAGAGAUGGAGCCACCUCUCUGUUGGCAACCCCUUCAAAUUAGGGUCAAUUGGUUACAGGCAAAAGGCAUUUUCAACAAGCAGAGAAAGCAGGCUUCUCACUGAGCUCCAAUACACUAAAGGUUCAGGGCCUUUGCGAAGGACCGUCUGUCCCUUAUGGGACAACCUCAUCCUUCUUCAAGACUAAGCUGAAGUUGCCCUGUUUCCUGCUUAGUGGGCAUUCACAGCUGAAGGCCUCUCACUCUGUCAUCUUGCCCUGUUGGUUUUCCCUAUGUGUAUUUUCUGUUUUAUCUCUAGGCUCUCCUAUGUGUGCCCAACCUGAGCCCUGGGGCUGUUUGCAUCCAGGAGAGCCACCAUUGCAGUUUGACACAUUUGUAAACCACAAUAUCAAAUCACAGUAUCAAAGGUAGGACAUUUCUGCAAGAAGAAGGCCUCAAGAGAAGAAGAAGGACCUAUAGAGGUCCACUUCCCCAGGGUCUAGUAUAAUACCAGGCUCAGAGAAAGCCAUGGCCACAACUGGCCACCUGUCAGAAGUUAAUCUGACCAAGACUAACCACUCAGUGACCAAUUGCUUAACUGAUGAGAUCAGAGACAGGAACAGGAAUGAGAUCGAGUCCCCAUGCAGCAGGAAUCCUUGCCUAUAAUGGGUUUUUAACCAUACAAUCAGGUCAGAGGCAGGGCAGAUUUCUGGAGCUGAUGCCAAUCCUAGGCCUGACACAACACUGUACCACGAGUGAGGUCUGAGCAACCACGUCAGGGUGGUGUGCAGGACCUCAGAAUCCCUGUGCCUGCUACUCACUGGGCCUGGAACUCUGCCAGCCUGCAUGCAAGGAGGCUGCCUCAACGGAAGUGCCUCCUGGGGUGGACAGCCCCAUCUACAUUCUCCACUACUCUCCCUCUCCCCUCUGUCCAGCUCUUGCCCUGCCCAUCUCCAUGGAGACAGUAAUUCUACCUAUUCUCAUUACAAAGGGCUUGGGCUAGACCUGGCCUGUCCUGGCUUGCCCAUCCUCUGUCCUUGGUAUUCAGUAAUAGCAGCUCAGGGUACCCACCUAGUGACCAUUUCUUGUAGAGUAAACAAAGGACCUGCUACCUAUAGAGGUUCAUUCUUAGGCUGGUUCGGUCAGAACCUUAGGCACCAAGUACUUAGGCAAUAAAGAUAGAGUUUGUGGUUUUGUUAGUCUGUUUGGUGUUGGGGCUCAAACUCUGAUCUUAUGUGUGUCAGGAAAGGGCUCCUCUCUGGUACAGAGAUAGCACUGAAGCCUCAAGCCUGCCACUGGUGGUGGCAGGGGUGGGGGCAGGGGAAGGACAAAGCAACAAGUGAGUAUUGAGUGAAGGGCUGGGACAGAGGAGGGAGCACAGGAAUGUCUGAUCCCUGACCAGAGUGGCGGAGAAAGGCCAGGCAAGCAAGCCACACUGGAGCCCCAAGAGACCAACUGUGAUUUAGUAAGUAGGGCCACUAACAGGUAUUCUGUGUGACAGACUGUGAAGGGGCAGGGCAUGUGGAGCUGGCCUCAGGUGUACAGGGUCUGGAUUUGGUCCGAGUCAGUAACUAGUGUCAGCAAUAAAGAUCAGGGGCACAGGUUGCGCUCUCUCUCUCUCUCUCUCUCUCUCUCUCUCUCUCUCUCUCUCUCAGUUGUAGUUUUGGUUUUGGUUUUUUUUGAGACAUGGCUCUCUAUGUAACCUUGGCUGUCCUGGAACUAGGCUGACCUUGAACUCACAGAGAUCCUCCUGCCUCUGCCUUCUAAGUGUGGGAAUAAAGGUGUGUACCACUA